RNAcentral lists this ribosomal RNA (460 nucleotides) under uncultured bacterium. RNAcentral's name for it is "partial 16S ribosomal RNA". It matches the Rfam family "Bacterial small subunit ribosomal RNA", at positions 338 to 795 of the family's 1533-position model. The record is from RNAcentral.
CCUACGGGAGGCAGCAGUGAGGAAUAUUGGUCAAUGGCCGGAAGGCUGAACCAGCCAUGCCGCGUGAAGGUCAGUGCCCUAUGGGCGUUAAACUUCUUUUGUGCGGGAGCAAUAAUGGUCACGUGUGGCCAGACGAGAGUACCGUACGAAUAAGCAUCGGCUAACUCCGUGCCAGCAGCCGCGGUAAUACGGGAGAUGCAAGCGUUAUCCGGAUUUAUUGGGGUUAAAGGGGUCGUAAGCUGUGAGGUAAGUCAGCGGUGAAAUGCCCCCGCUCAACGGGGUGAAGUGCCAUUGAUACUGCCUGGCUGGAGUGCGGAUGACGUGGGAGGAAUGUGUGGUGUAGCGGUGAAAUGCAUAGAUAUCACACAGAACACCGAUUGCGAAGGCAUCUCACGAAUCCGCGAUUGACGCUGAUGCACGAAAGCGUGGGUAUCAAACAGGAUUAGAUACCCCAGUAGUC